This 468-nucleotide ribosomal RNA is filed under the name uncultured organism. Its description in RNAcentral is "bacterial SSU rRNA". It matches the Rfam family "Bacterial small subunit ribosomal RNA", at positions 28 to 507 of the family's 1533-position model. The record is from RNAcentral.
GAUGAACGCUGGCGGCGUGCCUAACACAUGCAAGUCGAACGGAGCUUAUGAAGUUUUCGGACUGAGUAAGCUUAGUGGCGGACGGGUGAGUAACGCGUGGGUAACCUGCCUCAUACAGGGGGAUAACAGUUGGAAACGACUGCUAAAACCGCAUAAGAUAGGAAGACCGCAUGGUCAUUCUAUUAAAUAUUCAUAGGUAUGAGAUGGGCCCGCGUCUGAUUAGCUAGUUGGCAGGGUAACGGCCUACCAAGGCGACGAUCAGUAGCCGGCUUGAGAGAGUGACCGGCCACAUUGGGACUGAGACACGGCCCAAACUCCUACGGGAGGCAGCAGUGGGGAAUAUUGCACAAUGGGGGAAACCCUGAUGCAGCGACGCCGCGUGAGUGAAGAAGUAUUUCGGUAUGUAAAGCUCUAUCAGCAGGGAAGAAAAUGACGGUACCUGACUAAGAAGCCCCGGCUAACUACGUG